RNAcentral lists this long non-coding RNA (421 nucleotides) under Brassica napus (rape). Its description in RNAcentral is "long non-coding RNA (BNAP_LNC003325)". Lineage: Eukaryota; Viridiplantae; Streptophyta; Magnoliopsida; Brassicales; Brassicaceae. The record is from RNAcentral.
UGUGUAUAACAAGAGGCUUUUGUGUUGUUUGUGGUGAGGAUCUCUACAGUUAGCCUGUGGUCUUUUUCGUUGAAGUUAGUUUGUAGUUGAUGUAUAAAGGUUUAUGUUUUGGUUGCUAGCUGUUUUGUAGGAAUUCGAUGUUUGUUAUUCUUAUUGAGUUUCGUAUAUGACAUGUGUGGAGUUAAAGCUGAAUCGGAAGUAGAUCAAAAGCUGGAGUAGUAUAUGAGAUGUGUGGGCAGCGUUUGCAACGGGAGUGUUUCCCGUGGUUAGGUAGGGUUUGGUUAGGUGGGGAACAGGGGUUUAGGUUGUGGUUUUGUUGAAUGUUUUGAAUUGUUUGUGGGCUUGUAUGACAUGUUUGUGGUAGUUGUUUUUUUUUUUCUAGGUAGAAGUUGUUUUAAGCACGAGGGGAAUGAAGCGGGGU